Molecule: ribosomal RNA, 303 nt
Filed under: uncultured bacterium
Lineage: Bacteria
Description: partial 16S ribosomal RNA
Rfam family: Bacterial small subunit ribosomal RNA
Source: RNAcentral
AGCAGUAGCCGCGGUAAGACAGAGGAUGCAAGCGUUAUCCGGAAUGAUUGGGCGUAAAGCAUCUGUAGGUGGCUUUUCAAGUCCGCCGUCAAAUCCCAGGGCUCAACCCUGGACAGGCGGUGGAAACUACUAAGCGGAGUACGGUAGGGGCAGAGGGAAUUUCCGGUGGGGCGGUGAAAUACGUUGAGAUCGGAAAGAACACCAACGGCGAAAGCACUCUGCUGGGCCGACACUGACACUGAGAGACGAAAGCUAGGGGAGCAAAUGGGAUUAGAUACCCCUGUAGUCCCUGUCUCUUAUACA